GAAUGGCUCAGGAUGAACGCUAGCUACAGGCUUAACACAUACAAGUCGAGGGGCAGCAUAGUGUUCUAGCAAUAGAAUACGGAUGGCGACCGGCGCACGGGUGAGUAACACGUAUCCAACCUGGCUGUUAUUCGGGAAUAGCCUUGCGAAAGUAAGAUUAACGCCCGAUGGUAUUAAGGUUCCGCAUGGGAUUUUAAUUAAAAGUUAUGAUAACAGAUGGGGAUGCGUUCCAUUAGAUCGUAGGCGGGGUAACGG
Molecule: ribosomal RNA, 255 nt
Filed under: uncultured bacterium
Lineage: Bacteria
Description: partial 16S ribosomal RNA
Rfam family: Bacterial small subunit ribosomal RNA
Source: RNAcentral